UCCCCGAUUUCCGGGGCAGUCUCCCAUGAGUCCCCGGCAUUACCCGCUGGCAACAUGGAACAGGGGUUGCGCUCGUUGCGCCACUUAAGGCAACACCUCACGGCGUCACCCCGCAUGUCAAGCCCUGGUAAGGUUCUUCGCGUUGCGUCGAAUUGAGCCACAUGCUCCGCCGCUUGUGCGGGUCCCCGUCAAUUCCUUUGAGUUUUAGCCUUGCGGCCGUACUCCCCAGGCGGGGCGCUUAAUGCGUUAGCUUCGGCACAGAAGGGGUCGAUACCCCCCACACCUAGCGCCCAUCGUUUACGGCUGGGACUAC
Molecule: unclassified non-coding RNA, 313 nt
Filed under: uncultured Actinomycetes bacterium
Lineage: Bacteria; Bacillati; Actinomycetota; Actinomycetes
Description: uncultured actinobacterium contains 16S-23S intergenic spacer region
Source: RNAcentral